Nicotiana tabacum (common tobacco) is the source of this 314-nucleotide non-coding RNA. NCBI's taxonomy places the organism in Eukaryota, Viridiplantae, Streptophyta, Magnoliopsida, Solanales, Solanaceae. The record is from RefSeq and is a predicted model, not a curated record.
AGGAUGGGAUGCUAGGGUUGCACUUUCUGUGUAUGGUUCCUUUAGUAGCCAGGAGUACUUGAAUGCCCAGAGAAUUAGAUAAUAAGCAGAAAGAGCAAAUAGGUUGAUCCACCUUGUUCACAUUUACAAUAGGAAAACCAUGUCAACAUACGGGUACAAACAGUUAUUUUUUGUUUCAUUGUAUCAAUGCCCAUGUCAACAUGACUUUCCCAACAUGAGAUAUCAUCCAAGCCUUAAGAGAAAUCAGGUGCUGUCUCAUUUUUCUUUGCAUACGUCCGCGCUGCUCCUGUUUUUUUUUUUUAAAAAAAAAAAAA